AUAUUCUUAACUUAUGAAAAUAACCAUGAAAAAAUUUUAGCAUAAUUUUUUUAACAUAAGGCAUCAUGUUUUAUGUCUACUCACAAAAUUUGAACUCAAAAUUCAACUUAUACAUGAAGAAAUAAAAAAGAGAAAUCGAAUUAGAGGGUAGAUUGGACCAAGUGAAAUAGUCCAAGGGAGUAAAGUGCGCCAAAAUUUUGUUCAGGGGUUAAGCGGACAAUAGGAUAGGUAAGGGGGGUAAAAUGGACUUUUUCCUUAUUAAUAUUGUGGGAAUGUCAGUAUGGAUCAUAGCUAAUAAUUAGUGCGAUUUGACCGAGAACCAUACAUUUGGAUGCAAGUUCUAGUGAAAUUCAUUUUCUUUCUGACUUAACAUAACAUUAUUGAUGCGUGGAAGCAAGUUGUUCCAUGCCAUUAACUUCUUUCCAAUCAGGUCUCUUCAGCAUGUGAGGUUUGGUGGUCAGGUUCCUAGGACAUCUCCGACAAUAUCCUACUUACAGCGGGCCAUAUAGGUUUACAGACAAGGGUACUGUUCCCGUAAUGUGCUAAUCCCCAACCACUUGUCGUCCCAGAUCCUAACUUGAGGUCCAUCUUUAAU
This 595-nucleotide long non-coding RNA is filed under the name Setaria viridis. RNAcentral describes it as "long non-coding RNA (SVIR_LNC010954)". The record is from RNAcentral. Lineage: Eukaryota; Viridiplantae; Streptophyta; Magnoliopsida; Poales; Poaceae.